This 600-nucleotide ribosomal RNA is filed under the name Pseudomonas aeruginosa. RNAcentral's name for it is "bacterial SSU rRNA". It matches the Rfam family "Bacterial small subunit ribosomal RNA", at positions 72 to 668 of the family's 1533-position model. The record is from RNAcentral. Lineage: Bacteria; Pseudomonadati; Pseudomonadota; Gammaproteobacteria; Pseudomonadales; Pseudomonadaceae.
GAAGGGAGCUUGCCUUGGAUUCAGCGGCGGACGGGUGAGUAAUGCCUAGGAAUCUGCCUGGUAGUGGGGGAUAACGUCCGGAAACGGCCGCUAAUACCGCAUACGUCCUGAGGGAGAAAGUCGGGGAUCUUCGGACCUCACGCUAUCAGAUGAGCCUAGGUCGGAUUAGCUAGUUGGUGGGGUAAAGGCCUACCAAGGCGACGAUCCGUAACUGGUCUGAGAGGAUGAUCAGUCACACUGGAACUGAGACACGGUCCAGACUCCUACGGGAGGCAGCAGUGGGGAAUAUUGGACAAUGGGUGCAAGCCUGAUCCAGCCAUGCCGCGUGUGUGAAGAAGGUCUUCGGAUUGUAAAGCACUUUAAGUUGGGAGGAAGGGCAGUAAGUUAAUACCUUGCUGUUUGACGUUACCAACAGAAUAAGCACCGGCUAACUUCGUGCCAGCAGCCGCGGUAAUACGAAGGGUGCAAGCGUUAAUCGGAAUUACUGGGCGUAAAGCGCGCGUAAGUGGUUCAGCAAGCUUGAUGUGAAAUCCCCGGGCUCAACCUGGGAACUGCAUCCAAAAGCUACUGAGCUAGAGUACGGUAGAGGUGGUAGAAUUU